This is a long non-coding RNA of Neofelis nebulosa (Clouded leopard), 565 nucleotides long. RefSeq lists it as uncharacterized. The transcript has 2 exons. The record is from RefSeq and is a predicted model, not a curated record. Lineage: Eukaryota; Metazoa; Chordata; Mammalia; Carnivora; Felidae.
CCCGCCUCCGUCUCCACCUCCGCCCUCCCCAGCCCCCGGGCUCCCUGGCCAGUUGUUCCUUCCUGUGACUCCACUGAGUGGCGCCCAGACGGAGCCAGUGACCUUCAGCCGGCAGCAGGGGGAUAAGAAGUAGACAGAAAGCAGCCUGUUUGGAGAGAUGUACAAUGGUCUCUUUCUUGAGCGGCCUUUAGCUCUUCCCUGAUUUCCUCAGCUGUUGACUUAUUUUUGCUGGAUGCUACCAAGAAGGGAAUGGGCCCCUUGCAGAUACACGUGGUGUUUUCGUCCCAGAGCCUUUGAGAGGUGGAAUUGACUUCAUCCCUCACUCCAGAGGUGGGCUUGUGACUCAUCAAAACAUUGCAUUGGUUCCAGGAUAAUUCACGCAGAGCCAGUGAAAUGUAAUGCCACUUCUGCCGGGACUUUUAGAAAGACUGGAGUUCUAGCCACCCCCUGGCCCCCACUGGGGGAGAACCCAGCUGAAGACUGGGCCAAUGUGGAGGGAAGUGGAAUAAAAGUUGAGUGAAAUCGUGACUCAGGGGCAGAGUUUGCACCCCAGGAUCUAGCCGUA